UGGAUGUUUGAGCAAGUAAUCUUUCUCCUCUUUCUGUAUCAUGUACAGCGUUUCCAGUCUUUUUGAAGUUGACGUUGACAUGUGCAACACUUGCCAAGUCGACAGUGCAGCCUUCGUUAUCACUGGAAAUACAGCUGGACAAGCACCAGCCAGAGGGCUCCAGCUUUGCGCAUGGACGGGGUGUGUGGAAAAAAAUCGGGUGAUGCACGGGUGCUCGUGAACUUUGCCACCCCGUCCCGUGAACGACAGGAGUGGGGGAGAAGAGGAGCAGCGCCCGCCAGUCAGCAGAAAAGGAUGGUUACUCGGACCGAGUAAUGUCAACAUGUUAAAUGGCUCAAGCAUAUCAUAAUGGAAGAGCAUGCCCCAAGUAUGAAGCAUCUCUGAGCACAAGGCGAAACAGGAUUACCUAAAUUCCUCUUUUCUUCCAAUACAGAUUACUUCCUUAAUAAAAAUCUCUGGCAAAAAUGA
This is a long non-coding RNA of Hemicordylus capensis (graceful crag lizard), 468 nucleotides long. RefSeq lists it as uncharacterized. The transcript is spliced from 3 exons. NCBI's taxonomy places the organism in Eukaryota, Metazoa, Chordata, Lepidosauria, Squamata, Cordylidae. The record is from RefSeq and is a predicted model, not a curated record.